RNAcentral lists this ribosomal RNA (468 nucleotides) under uncultured bacterium. Its description in RNAcentral is "partial 16S ribosomal RNA". It matches the Rfam family "Bacterial small subunit ribosomal RNA", at positions 28 to 507 of the family's 1533-position model. The record is from RNAcentral.
GACGAACGCUGGCGGCGUGCUUAACACAUGCAAGUCGAACGGAAAGGCGCGGCUUUUGCGGGGUGCACGAGUGGCGAAGGGGUGAGUAAAACGCGAGUAAACUGCACUUGACUUUGGGGUAAAUUCAGGAAACUGGGGCUAAUACCGGAGAGGAGCUCCUGAUGCAUGGUGUGGGUUGGAAAGUUUCGGCGGUGGGGGAUGGACUCGCGGCUUAUGAGCUGGUUGGUGUGGUAGUGGCGUACCAGGGCUACGACGGGUAGCCGGCCUGAGAGCGUGACCAGCGACAUUGGUCCUGCGGGAGGGACCAGAAUCCUACGGGAGGCAGCAGUGGGGAAUAUUGCGCAACGAGGGGAAGCGUGAUGCAACAGCGUCCGGUGCGGAAUGCCGGGCUAUGAGUUAUGAACAGCUUUGGAAUGUGCCGAAGAGUGAUUGACGGUACUGGGUAAAAAAGCCCCGGCUAACUACGUG